AUGACGAAGGGAGGGAAGACGGUGGGUGGUUGCGCUAGGGUUUCGGGUAAGAGAAAAACAGGGAGGGAAAGGGAAAGGGAAAGGGAGGGGGUGGGGUGGCCCUUAUGGCCGAGAUUGGAGGAGAAAAGGGAGGGGGUGGGGUGGCCGACGCCGGCGCCGAUGCCUAAGGAAUUCGGCCACCAACAGCCGGAAGCCGGCACAGUAGUAGGGUGGUAGUGGCUGGUGGCAGGCUGGGUUUUUUGUUUUUUUUUUAAAAAUUUUUUAAGGUGUUUUUUAAAUUUUUUUCUUUUUUAAAUAAAUUAAAUUAUUAAAUAAUUAAAUAAUGGGCCCCACUAAUGAAACAUGGAUAGAGGUACCAAAACCUAUAAUUUUACAAUUUGAUGGGUAUCAAUAAAAAAAAUUUAACAGGUACCAAAAUUCAACACCCCCCAUUUUCGAGGUAUCAAAUUCCAAAAUUUCCACAAGUUAAUUUAGUGUAACUCAUGGAAUUAAGGUUGGGAUUAUUUUUCUAGUAACUGUAAUAGGUUUUUCAUUUUUUGAAUUACUUUCACUAGUAGAAUAAAGUAAAUGGGAAGCCCCAAAUGACAAGCGGUUUAUUGAAUUUCGCUUCCAAAAACACCUUACAAAAAUCUAAAACAAGCAAAUGGCAAGCGAUUUUGGGUUAACCACUUGCAAAAUUGUAAACGGCAGGCAGUUUGAACUUUGAACCGCUUGCCAUUUGUAAAAAAAACCCUUAAAAAUCUUACCCCUCCUUCUUCUCUUUCACCUUACAAAAAUCUAAAACAAGCAAAUGGUAAGCGAUUUUGGGUGAACCACUUGCAAAAUUGUAAAUGGAAAACAGUUUGAACAUUGAACUGCUUGCCAUUUGUAAAAAAAAACCGUUAAAAAUCUCACGCCUCCUUCUUCUCUCUCCCCUUUCCCCUUCAUUUCUCACGCUCUCUCUCCUCCCAUGCCUCACUUCUCUCUCUUAUCACCCCUCCAUUCUCACAACCUCUCCUUUCUCCAUCUCCUUCUCUUUCUUCUCUCAUCUCUUUUCUCAGCCUCCCUUCUUUCUAUUCUCACGCCUUACCACGACGAGUGACGACCAACGAGUGACGAGCGAGUAAAAUGAAGAAGGCGUUAGGGUUUAGUUUUUCCGGCUCAACGAGUUAAGGGUUGAGGAGUAGCAAUGGUGGUUGUCCGACGUCUGAGACAGAUACGGGUGAAUCGGGAUAGGGUGCUAGUAGUGGUGGUGAUACAGGUUAAGGUGGUGGCGGUGAUAGGUGGCAGGCGGUGGCGCGCGCGGCUGUUGGUGUGCAUGGUUGGUGGUAGAACGGAACAAGAGCAGAAAAUCAGAAAAUUAAGUUAUUUAUUAUAUAUUUACUGUAUUUAUUUUUUUGAUGAAAAUCAGAAAAUGUAAUUUUUUUUAAAGGAUCAGAAAAUGUAAUUUUGAAGCAAUUGAUUAAUGAAAAUAGUUAUGUUUAUACAUAUGUUAAGUUCUUGUGUAUCAAUUUAAUUGAAAAAAAAAAC
Chenopodium quinoa (quinoa) is the source of this 1509-nucleotide long non-coding RNA. RefSeq lists it as uncharacterized. The record is from RefSeq and is a predicted model, not a curated record. Lineage: Eukaryota; Viridiplantae; Streptophyta; Magnoliopsida; Caryophyllales; Amaranthaceae. The transcript is spliced from 2 exons.